RNAcentral lists this transfer RNA (60 nucleotides) under Endeis sp. JZ-2022. RNAcentral describes it as "tRNA-Tyr". Lineage: Eukaryota; Metazoa; Arthropoda; Pycnogonida; Pantopoda; Endeidae. The record is from RNAcentral.
UAUGUCUGAUUUUAAAAGUAUUAAAUUGUAAAUUUAAUUAUGGAAGUUUUCCUUGUGCCA